CAGCUCUCCGAGUGGUGUGGAUGUUUAUUGGGCCUAAAGCAUCCGUAGCUGGCUAAGUUAGUCCCUUGUUAAAUCCACCGAAUUAAUCGUUGGAUUGCGGGGGAUACUGCUUGGCUAGGGGACGAGAGAGGCAGACGGUAUUUCCGGGGUAGGGGUGAAAUCCUAUAAUCCCGGGAGGACCACCAGUGGCGAAGGCUGUCGACUAGAACGCGCCCGACGGUGAGGGAUGAAAGCUGGGGGAGCAAACCGGAUUAGAGACCCGAGUAGUCC
RNAcentral lists this ribosomal RNA (270 nucleotides) under uncultured archaeon. RNAcentral describes it as "partial 16S ribosomal RNA". It matches the Rfam family "Archaeal small subunit ribosomal RNA", at positions 477 to 747 of the family's 1478-position model. The record is from RNAcentral.